GACGGAGGGUGCUAGCGUUGUUCGGAAUUACUGGGCGUAAAGGGCGCGUAGGCGGCUGCUCAAGUCGGGUGUGAAAGCCCGGGGCUCAACCCCGGAACGGCACCCGAGACUGGGCGGCUCGAGACCGGGAGAGGAGGGUGGAAUACCCAGUGUAGAGGUGAAAUUCGUAGAUAUUGGGUGGAACACCGGUGGCGAAAGCGGCUCUCUGGCCCGGUUCUGACGCUGAGGCGCGAAAGCGUGGGGAGCAAACAGG
This 253-nucleotide ribosomal RNA is filed under the name uncultured bacterium. Its description in RNAcentral is "partial 16S ribosomal RNA". It matches the Rfam family "Bacterial small subunit ribosomal RNA", at positions 524 to 776 of the family's 1533-position model. The record is from RNAcentral.